RNAcentral lists this ribosomal RNA (496 nucleotides) under uncultured bacterium. RNAcentral describes it as "partial 16S ribosomal RNA". It matches the Rfam family "Bacterial small subunit ribosomal RNA", at positions 28 to 506 of the family's 1533-position model. The record is from RNAcentral.
GAUGAACGCUGGCGGCGUGCCUAAUACAUGCAAGUCGAGCGAACGGACGAGAAGCUUGCUUUUCUGAUGUUAGCGGCGGACGGGUGAGUAACACGUGGAUAACCUACCUAUAAGACUGGGAUAACUUCGGGAAACCGGAGCUAAUACCGGAUAAUAUUUUGAACCGCAUGGUUCAAAAGUGAAAGACGGUCUUGCUGUCACUUAUAGAUGGAUCCGCGCUGCAUUAGCUAGUUGGUAAGGUAACGGCUUACCAAGGCAACGAUGCAUAGCCGACCUGAGAGGGGAAUCGGCCAAACGGGAACUGGAAACCGGUCCAAACCCCUAGGGGGGGAAGGAGGAGGAAAUUUUCCGAAAGGGGCGAAAGCCUAAGGGAGAAACGCCGGGGGAGUGAUAAAGGUUUUCGGAUCGUAAAACUUUUUUAUUAGGGAAAAAAAAAUGUGAAAGUAACUGUGCAAAUCUUGACGGUACCUAAUCAAAAAGCCACGGCUAACUACGU